AGUGAUCCAUGAAAGACUUCCAGUCUGAGGAUGACUCGAAAUAGGAGAACUCAAUAGCAGAUUGCCUGAGAUUGUACAACCCAUCUCAGAGCCUACGUAUGGUGACUUCCUCGAAGGUCCGAUGGCCAGCCUCCUCAUCUGAAGAGUCCCACAUCGGUAGUAUUCCUAUAAUUAGAAGCAAGCAUGUAUUAAUAAAUAUAAUACAAACAUACCGUGAAUUUAAAAAUUAAAUAUCUUUGAUGUAGCAGGAACAUUUCCCAUGCAACGUCACGAGCCUUCGAUGGCCAACUGAAGAACUCAUUCACCGGCCCC
This 312-nucleotide long non-coding RNA is filed under the name Elaeis guineensis (African oil palm). Its description in RNAcentral is "long non-coding RNA (EGUI_LNC002545)". The record is from RNAcentral. Lineage: Eukaryota; Viridiplantae; Streptophyta; Magnoliopsida; Arecales; Arecaceae.